UACGUAGGCGGCGAGCGUUGUCCGGAUUUACUGGGCGUAAAGAGCGCGCAGGCGGUCGUUCAAGUCGAGUGUGAAAGCCCCCGGCUCAACUGGGGAGGGUCACUCGAUACUGAUCGACUUGAAGGCAGGAGAGGGAAGCGGAAUUCCCGGUGUAGUGGUGAAAUGCGUAGAUAUCGGGAGGAACACCAGUGGCGAAGGCGGCUUCCUGGCCUGUUCUUGACGCUGAGGCGCGAAAGCUAGGGGAGCAAACGGG
RNAcentral lists this ribosomal RNA (253 nucleotides) under uncultured bacterium. RNAcentral's name for it is "partial 16S ribosomal RNA". It matches the Rfam family "Bacterial small subunit ribosomal RNA", at positions 524 to 776 of the family's 1533-position model. The record is from RNAcentral.